This 502-nucleotide ribosomal RNA is filed under the name uncultured bacterium. RNAcentral's name for it is "partial 16S ribosomal RNA". It matches the Rfam family "Bacterial small subunit ribosomal RNA", at positions 30 to 523 of the family's 1533-position model. The record is from RNAcentral.
AUUGAACGCUGGCGGCAUGCUUUACACAUGCAAGUCGAACGGCAGCACGGGUGCUUGCACCUGGUGGCGAGUGGCGAACGGGUGAGUAAUAUAUCGGAACGUGCCCUAGAGUGGGGGACAACCAGUCGAAAGAUUGGCUAAUACCGCAUACGAUCUAAGGAUGAAAGUGGGGGACCUUCGGGCCUCAUGCUCCUGGAGCGGCCGAUAUCUGAUUAGCUAGUUGGUGGGGUAAAGGCCUACCAAGGCGACGAUCAGUAGCUGGUCUGAGAGGACGAUCAGCCACACUGGGACUGAGACACGGCCCAGACUCCUACGGGAGGCAGCAGUGGGGAAUUGUGGACAAUGGGGGCAACCCUGAUCCAGCAAUGCCGCGUGAGUGAAGAAGGCCUUCGGGUUGUAAAGCUCUUUUGUCAGGGAAGAAAUUGCCUGGGUUAAUACCCUGGGUAGAUGACGGUACCUGAAGAAUAAGCACCGGCUAACUACGUGCCAGCCGCCGCGGUAA